This 576-nucleotide ribosomal RNA is filed under the name Protohydnum sucinum. RNAcentral describes it as "eukaryotic LSU rRNA". It matches the Rfam family "Eukaryotic large subunit ribosomal RNA", at positions 73 to 665 of the family's 3401-position model. Lineage: Eukaryota; Fungi; Basidiomycota; Agaricomycetes; Auriculariales; Exidiaceae. The record is from RNAcentral.
GMUUCCCCUAGUAACGGCGAGUGAAGCGGGAAGAGCUCAAAUUUGAAAUCUGGCGGUCUCCGGCCGUCCGAGUUGUAGUUUAGAGAGGCGUUUUCCGCGUCGGACCAUGUACAACUCCCUUGGGAUGGGGCGUCAGAGAGGGUGAGAAUCCCGUUCGUGACAUGGACUGCCGUCGCUCUGUGAUGCGCCUUCGAAGAGUCGAGUUGUUUGAGAAUGCAGCUCAAAACGGGUGGUAAACUCCAUCUAAAGCUAAAUACAGGCGAGAGACCGAUAGCGAACAAGUACCGUGAGGGAAAGAUGAAAAGAACUUUGGAAAGAGAGUUAAACAGUACGUGAAAUUGUUGAAAGGGAAACGCUUGAAGUCAGUCGCGUUGGCGGAGACUCAGCCUGGCCUCGUGCUUGGUGCAUUUCUCCGUCGACGGGCCAGCGUCAAUUUCGGUCGCCGAAGAAAGGUGGGGGGAAUGUGGCACCUUCGGGUGUGUUAUAGCCCUCUGUCAUACGCGGUGGCUGGGAUUGAGGACCGCAUUUUUAGGAUGCUGGCGUAAUGGCUGUAAACGACCCGUCKUGAAACGCGGA